Molecule: unclassified non-coding RNA, 1109 nt
Filed under: Drosophila ananassae
Lineage: Eukaryota; Metazoa; Arthropoda; Insecta; Diptera; Drosophilidae
Description: GF13846
Source: RNAcentral
UUUGUCACAUGAUAUAUUCACCUGACAAGUUUGAGAUUUAGAUUUUUCAGCUAAGGCGAGAAUUCAGCGGCUGACAAUUUAUUAAUUUACUUUCUUUUUUGAGGAAACCAAUAAAAAGCGGCACUAUGAAAAUCUGUGGUCCAAAAUUAUCCCUCUGUGGUCUGAUUAUUUCAGUGUGGGGCAUUGUUCAAUUGGUGCUGAUGGGCCUAUUUUUCUAUAUCAAUAGUGUGGCUCUUAUAGAGGAUUUACCUCUUGAAGAGGAAUACCAUACUUUGGACGAGUUUUAUACAGCUGCAAACAGAGCCUACAAUCAGAACGCCUAUAACUGCUGGAUUGCAGCUUGCAUCUAUGUACUGACACUGUUACUUUCGGCCCAACAAUUCUAUAUGAAUAGCAGAGUAACUGCUAAUUAAAAUGCUUCCACUUUUGAUAGUAUCAGUGUGAAGCCCAAUUGCUAGUUGUGUAUUAUUGUGACCGGCACUAGCAGUCGAUAGUAUUAAAUGGUUUAAUUAAAUUGUUAAUCUUUUUUGUUUCUUAAAAGUUUUCCAUUGUUUUUGUCAAAUAAUGAAAUUUUGUUUGAAAAAAUGUUGUUCAGCUUAAAAACUUACUACAUUCCGGUUUAUCUUAACGUAAUUAUAAUGGUGUAUGAUUCAUAGUGCAUAUUAUUGAGUUUCACCCAAAUUAUAAAAUAUUUAAUUUCAUUAUACAUCGCAAUGUGGCCGUGGUGAAUGCAUUACGAAAUAUAUAUCCAAACAUCAUUCUAGAUAAACCUACGGAUUUAUUUUCAAUGACUAUCGGAUCAGGAAAGACCAAAGGUUGCUUAAAAUCUAAAUUUAAAAGGUAGCCAACAAAUCUUCGCAAAUAAAUAAACUUAAAUUCUCCAGAAUCUUUGGUAUCAUCUAUACCAGUGCUAGGCAGGGCCCUAUUCCAGGAGCAAAGGAAAAUUCUCAGCCCAAGAUCUGCCAUAUAUACACAGUAACGAGCGAAACAUCACGUUUGCAUUCAACUUUCGGCUAUUUGUUACUAAUAUUAAUAAAUUGAAAUCAUAUUAAUGUAUUGGCUGAUAACCGCUGAUCUAUGCCAACGUUCCCUAAAAAUGUUAAACUAAA